RNAcentral lists this long non-coding RNA (265 nucleotides) under Elaeis guineensis (African oil palm). RNAcentral's name for it is "long non-coding RNA (EGUI_LNC049195)". The record is from RNAcentral. Lineage: Eukaryota; Viridiplantae; Streptophyta; Magnoliopsida; Arecales; Arecaceae.
UUUUGGAUCUCUGCACUCUUCGGGUGAGAAACGAAAAUCCUAACAUGACAAAUAGAUUCCUAAUGGGUACUGCGAUCCCACCGAUGCUAUGUACCUCACCUAACAGUUAUUGAUAACAUGCUCACUGAUGCAUAGACAACACUUUGCCCAGAUACUUUACUAAGCAUGUUGUCGCGACUUGAUCUCUAAGUCAUGUGAGCUCACCUAAUAGUUAUUGACUACACUCCUUAAUUAAGUCUGACCCACCAUUCACAAGUAGGUGCAA